Long non-coding RNA from Pecten maximus, 294 nucleotides. RefSeq lists it as uncharacterized. Lineage: Eukaryota; Metazoa; Mollusca; Bivalvia; Pectinida; Pectinidae. The record is from RefSeq and is a predicted model, not a curated record. The transcript has 2 exons.
ACGGCCUAAAUGUUAGUUUUAUGUUGAAUUUAUUGUUUAGUUUCAUUUGUGGUAAUUUUGUUAAGAUUCCGGAAAAUACGGUUAUCCGGUUUCCGGUUUUAGUAUAGACGAAUAUUAUGGGAUAGCGUUAUCCAAGCGCAGCACAUGUUUUGAGUAUGAGAAGAUUCGUUCGGACUAUCGUAGGAUACGAUACGUCAAUCUAUCUACGUAGAACUAUCAUUGAGUCACUACACCUGUACUGUACAUGUAUGUAGUUGAACUGAUGUCAAAGAUAAUAAACACAGAUGAAGCCAG